CCCGAAAUAAAAAGAUUUAUUUUAAUAUGUUUAUUUUUGUGACAAAACAAUUUUUAAUAUUAAAAUAGAGGUGAUAUGCUAUUCAAUUUUUUAUAUCUGGUUAUUUAAUAGAUAAAUUUAAUUUAGGAUAUAAUUGUUAUUAAUUAAUUUAAUUAUUAAUUAUUUUUAUAUCUAAUAUUCUUGGGGAUAAGCUCAGGUUUAUUAUUAUAAUAAUGUUAUUUUAUUAAUUUUUUGUAGGCUUAACAACAGCCAUCCUUCAUUUCGUUAUAGUUUAUUUUUAAUAUUUUUAAUUUAUUUUUAUUUAAUUUUUUAUUAAAUUGAUUUAUAUAAUUAUAUUAUAUAUAUAAUAAUGAUAAAAUUAGUAUUUUUAAAAAUUAAAAUAUAGGAAUUCGGCAAAUAUUAUUUCCGCCUGUUUAACAAAAACAUGUCCUUUUGUUAUAUAUAUAAGGUCUGACCUGCCCAAUGAUUUUCAAUGGCCGCGGUAUUUUAACCGUGCAAAGGUAGCAUAAUCACUUGUCUUUUAAUUGGAGGCUAGAAUGAACGGUUGGACGAGAUAUAUUCUUUCUUUAUUUUAAAAAAAUGAAUUUAAUUUUUGAGUUAAAAAGCUCAAAUUUUAUUAUAGGACGAGAAGACCCUAUAGAACUUUAUUUUUAUGUAUAAGUUUUUAAUUUUGAUGAUUAUUUAAUUACUUAUAUUUAAAAAUUUUGUUGGGGUGACAGGAAAAUAUUUUUAACUUUUCUUUUUUUAUUCAUAAAUUAAUGUACUUUUGAUCCAAUAUUUUUGAUUAUAAGAUUAAGUUACCUUAGGGAUAACAGCGUAAUUCUUUUGGAGAGUUCUUAUCGAUAAAGGAGUUUGCGACCUCGAUGUUGAAUUAAGAUUAGUAAUGGGUGCAGAAUUUCAUUUACUAGGUCUGUUCGACCUUUAAAUUCUUACAUGAUUUGAGUUCAAACCGGCGUGAGCCAGGUUGGUUUCUAUCCUUAAUUUUUUAUAAUAUCUUAGUACGAAAGGACCAGAUAUU
Molecule: ribosomal RNA, 1018 nt
Filed under: Notonecta montandoni
Lineage: Eukaryota; Metazoa; Arthropoda; Insecta; Hemiptera; Notonectidae
Description: 16S ribosomal RNA
Rfam family: Bacterial large subunit ribosomal RNA (bases 592-1018)
Source: RNAcentral